This 1157-nucleotide long non-coding RNA is filed under the name Homo sapiens (human). RNAcentral describes it as "HSALNT0394104". The record is from RNAcentral. Lineage: Eukaryota; Metazoa; Chordata; Mammalia; Primates; Hominidae.
GGUUAGCUUGUUGCUGACUUUGAAAAUUUAUCUGAGCAAACCACUUCAAUUUUGCACAGUAUGACUAAAAUCUUGGAGUCAUAAAGGACAGAAGAAAGAAGUCAGUGAAGUUUAGCUGCUGUGCCCUGAGGGGUGAGGGAAAUGUGGUCGCCUAAAACACCAUCAAAGGUUGCUGCUUAAACACUUCCCUCAGCCAUAUAUGAAGGCUAAAUCAGAUAAAGAUCCCAGGAAGUGUGCAACAGGCACAAGAUUCAAAGGAAGCAGGCUGCUUUCUUGCAGCAAGACAAGGCAAGUUGGAAGAGAGGAUUAUUUUUCUUCUUCAAAGCUCUCACCCUCAGGAGGAUUCCUAUCAACUACUUUGGGAAAGAGUGCUGCAAAUACCGAAAGUCACAGUGGAUGUUAUGCUGGGUCAGAUUGAUGGCUAGGAGUGGGGAGCAGCUCAUAACAUUUCCUGACUAUCUUGUUGGCUUUUGGAAGACGCACGUCCAAAGGUAAGACAAAGAAAGAAGGCAAAAAAUAUAUAAAUGCCUGUAUGUUCACAUACAAUUAAAGUAUAAUGUGCAAAGUGCUUAAGACAGGCUUUUAAAACCCACUUAUAAAUACAAACUAAAAAGUGGAACAGAAUGGGUAGAAAAAACAGGCAGGAAAGCAGUAAAGACUCCUUUUGAGACCCCAUCACUCUUUCACAGCUGGCCAUAUUCAGCUUCAAAUUGCUAGUUUCAUUUUUCAAAUGGAGGCCUAGUAAGUCCCUUUAGAGCAAGGACGCUCAGCAUAGGCACUGGGUAGGUAAUCAGUAACUGUCUGUCAUUUAUUAAGUAGCCCCUCCUGUCACUCCAGUAAAACCUUAAGUGCAGCCAGGGAUCCUUCCUUCAGAUGUCUGACAUCAUGGGAUAUUUAGUAAGAAAGCUUAAUCCCUAUCUGUAAUGCUCUUCUAAAAAUUUAGGACAGGGUGGGUCUUCAAUAUCCUACAGUACCCUUUGAUUGCUUUCAGCAGAGGCCUAACUGGUUCUAUGAAUCAGCCCUGGCUUGGUGGCCAGUUAGUGCAAUACUCUGUGAACAGUAACCCAGUAAAUCAGACUCAACUCUUACCCAGAAUGUACUUCCCAGUAUCAUACAAAAGAGAGACGGUUGUUAAAAUUUUCUCAAUGAUUCUGUAU